Molecule: small RNA, 93 nt
Filed under: Sinorhizobium meliloti 2011
Lineage: Bacteria; Pseudomonadati; Pseudomonadota; Alphaproteobacteria; Hyphomicrobiales; Rhizobiaceae
Description: putative ncRNA
Source: RNAcentral
CUUUCCUCGGGCGGGAUCGGUGUCGUGGCUGACGUUGAAGUACACUGGGGUCACAGCGCUUCACCGCAGACCGCACUAUCCCGCCCUCCUGAU